RNAcentral lists this ribosomal RNA (347 nucleotides) under uncultured bacterium. Its description in RNAcentral is "bacterial SSU rRNA". It matches the Rfam family "Bacterial small subunit ribosomal RNA", at positions 28 to 375 of the family's 1533-position model. The record is from RNAcentral.
GACGAACGCUGGCGGCGUGCUUAACACAUGCAAGUCGAGCGGUAAGGCCCUUUCGGGGGUACACGAGCGGCGAACGGGUGAGUAACACGUGGGUGACCUGCCCUUAGCUCUGGGAUAAGCCUGGGAAACUGGGUCUAAUACCGGGAUAUGACUCCAUGACGCAUGUUGUGGGGUGGAAAGCCUUGUGCGGCUAGGGAUGGGCCCGCGGCCUAUCAGCUUGUUGGUGGGGUGAUGGCCUACCAAGGCGACGACGGGUAGCCGGCCUGAGAGGGCGACCGGCCACACUGGGACUGAGACACGGCCCAGACUCCUACGGGAGGCAGCAGUGGGGAAUCUUGCGCAAUGGG